GUUGAAGCAAGCACGAGCGUUGAGGUCGAAAGUUUUUUCUCGUCGUAUUUCGGAACGGUAAACCCUUUACUGACAAUGCCUUUGUUACCAGAAACAACGUCGCGAACGACUACAUCAACUUUGUACGUGCCCGGUGUUAAUGCGACUGCCGUUUGAUAAACCGAUUUACGAUCUUUUGCUUCGGCUAGUUCUUCGCCGGUCGCGUUCGUAGUUACCGAAUCUUCAAAAAUGCCCGAACGCUUCCCCGAAACUGCUGUAAUGCGCCCGAACACAUUCAUUUUUGCUGUCGGCAACCCGCCGACGUUUUCAAAAACCAAUUCUUUGUUUUCAGUCUGAACGGUGAAAGUCGCGAUAAUACGAUCUUCCGAUUGUCUGAAGAAAUCAACGC
This 388-nucleotide unclassified non-coding RNA is filed under the name uncultured fungus. RNAcentral's name for it is "sequence contains ITS1". Lineage: Eukaryota; Fungi. The record is from RNAcentral.